This 2134-nucleotide long non-coding RNA is filed under the name Triticum aestivum (bread wheat). Its description in RNAcentral is "long non-coding RNA (TAES_LNC002322)". Lineage: Eukaryota; Viridiplantae; Streptophyta; Magnoliopsida; Poales; Poaceae. The record is from RNAcentral.
UCUAACUUUACGCCUCUGCCUUAUCCACUCAGGGACUUGGUUGUGAUGAUUAUUUUUGCAGAAAAGUCCCUGAACUUCAUUCAUCCAUAUCUUUUUAACCAUAACUCCAAAUGAGGUGAAACCAACGCUCACUUCUUUGUUUCGUCGAGCCCUCUCUGUUAGUGUCACUUUCAUUAUGUUUUGGCAUACUGAAAAUGACCAUUUUGCCCCUGCCCUUAAUCAGCCCCCUCCGAGAGAGAAAGAUUUCCGGCGAUUCUUUCCGGGAGCUUCUAACACUUUCUUUCGGUGAUUUCUUCCACCCCAGGCAAGCCACACCCUCCAUUCGCAUCACUGUAAUGUAGUGACAUGGUUUAAUUCAUUUUGAACUUGUUUAAAAUAUUGCUUUAGCAACAUGACUCUGUGCAUGGCAUUUUCUCGGGGUAUUGUUUUGAUCUUGUUGUUGCCAUGCUAUUGUUUGGAUUACUAGGAGUUAUGUUUGUAGUUGAUGAGUAUCGUGUUGCCAUUGGAGUAUUAGUGGCUGGUAUUAUGAUUAUUUCCAUGAUAAUAUCUGUGUUUAUGUUUGGAAUAUUACUUUGGAUAUCAUGCUACCUUUGGAUUAUUAGCGGUUAGUAUGAUUAUUUUCAUGAUGCUAGUUGAUGUUCUGUUGCUUGGAGUAUUAUUUCCGAAGAUGAUGGUUACAUGUGGAUCAUAGUUGGAUAACUUGUUCUUGCAUAUUGGAGUAGUAGUAUUACUGUUGUCAGAUUCAUCAUGAUAGUAGUGUCAUGCUAUCCUCAGAGUAUUUUGAGAUGAUGAUAUUAUGCUUGGAUUAUUUGUUGGAUAUUGCUAUGACUUAGAUAUUAGUUUGAUGGUUGACAUCGGAGUAUCAAUUAUCAUGGUUAUAGUUUUGUGGAUAAAUUCAGUCAUUAAGUUGGUCAGGUGCCGCCGAACCGAACCUUUUCCAGUGCAACCACAUUUGCCGGUAUGGGACGACCCUAAUGCGGUCUAUUGUCGUGCAUCUCGCCGGUGCCUCUAACGAGGGAAGGUUAUGGGCGCGCUCUACCCUGAUCAGGUAGGCGGACAUAAGCCUUGUGUGCCCGUAGUUGUUAUAGCCGGCGGAUCCCCGUGUGGGAUCGUUUAUGUUUUGGCCACGAUGGUGGUCGUUGUGUCUUGUGGUAGACACGGGGCCACCCAUGACAGCCCAGAGGGGUGUGAGUCGGAGUGGCCGGGAGAGUGUCAUGGCAGUAGAUUGGUUUUGUCGGAACGCUGUUAGUCCACCCGAAUGGGAGUGCGAGGCCAUGGGUUCCGUGGUCUGGGUACACUGCAGAGAGUGUGUAUUUAAUCUAUCGAUAGCCGCGUCCUCAGUCAUGGGCAUGUGUUCAUACUAGGGCACACCGUUCGAUCAACACUCACAUGACGGAAUAGGUGAUGGAUAUGUGGAUAUUUGGAGCAGUACAGAUUGGCCAAGUGUUGGUCGGGUUGUGAUCACCGUAAGGAUCACGGGCCAUGUAUUGGUCGGGUUGUGAUCACCGUAAGGAUCACGAGCCAUGUAUUGGUCGGGUUGUGAUCGUCGUAAGGAUCACGGGCCAUGUAUUGGUCGGGUUGUGAUCGCCGUAAGGAUCACUGUUACAGUUUGGUUUUGAUCACGAGGUGAUCGAGAUGGUAUAUAUAUUGCUUGGCCGGUUAGCCAAGAGAGAUAUGGUUAUGGAGAUCGGAGAUGGUAAUUUAUCAGUAUUGUAGUAGUUUCAUAUUAUGCUUAGGAGUUGCUGUUAUAUCAUGGUAGCUGUUAAUUUAAUUAACCUGCUUAAUACUAUGUUGUUGUCUUGCCUUGAUGUUUCUGGUUGUUGUGAGCUUGCAAGUACAUUCAAUGUACUGACCUGGCGUGUCAUGCCAGAUUGCAGGUGAUGCCGUGAUUGCUUGAUUGCUUGUCGUGGUUUCCGUUCGUGCGAGCUAGAUCAUGUCCCAGCCAGAGUCCCUGCGGAGUGGAGUUCACCACCUUCGUCAUUGUUCCGCUGCUAGAAGAUUUCCACUGCUAUGAGUUGUUCCGCUGCUAGCAUAGAGCAAGUGUAGUAUCGCAGGCGUAGUGUUGCCGUGCUGAUGUGAACCUUUGUAAUAUCAGACCUUUCUAUUCAUUCUUGUAAUAAGAACUGGUUUGUUC